GGCUUGGUGGCGGAUGGUCCGCAUCUGAAACUUGUGGCUUGUAAAAGGUGAUGGAUUACGUAGAUGGUUGCUCGUUCAAAUCGAGCCUGAGCCA
Molecule: non-coding RNA, 94 nt
Organism: Mycena capillaripes
Lineage: Eukaryota; Fungi; Basidiomycota; Agaricomycetes; Agaricales; Mycenaceae
Source: the annotation of a GenBank genome assembly